CACGUAGGCGGACUUUUAAGUCAGGGGUGAAAUCCCGGGGCUCAACCCCGGAACUGCCUUUGAUACUGGAAGUCUUGAGUAUGGAAGAGGUAAGUGGAAUUGCGAGUGUAGAGGUGAAAUUCGUAGAUAUUCGCAGGAACACCAGUGGCGAAGGCGGCUUACUGGACGGUAACUGACGUUGAGGCUCGAAAGCGUGGGGAGCAAACA
This 207-nucleotide ribosomal RNA is filed under the name uncultured bacterium. RNAcentral describes it as "partial 16S ribosomal RNA". It matches the Rfam family "Bacterial small subunit ribosomal RNA", at positions 568 to 774 of the family's 1533-position model. The record is from RNAcentral.